Molecule: signal recognition particle RNA, 95 nt
Filed under: Deltaproteobacteria bacterium
Lineage: Bacteria; Pseudomonadati; Myxococcota; Myxococcia
Description: signal recognition particle sRNA small type
Rfam family: Bacterial small signal recognition particle RNA
About the family: The signal recognition particle (SRP) is a universally conserved ribonucleoprotein involved in the co-translational targeting of proteins to membranes.
Source: RNAcentral
CCCUGGCUGCUGCGCAAUCGCAACGCCUGAACCCCGCCAGGCCCGGAAGGGAGCAACGGUAGGGUCCCCUGCGAUGUGCGCAGCAGCCUUUUUUU